UGGACGGCAAGGUGUCUUUUUGGCCACCGUAUAAAGACACCAAGCGGACGAAAAUUGCAGUCAUCCAAAGCGCUAUGCCAGAUGAGACCUGGGGAGAGUUUUUUGUGGAGGUGGUGAAAACCUUUGCCAAUUAUGAUGCAGCGCGUAUGAACCUGAAAAAAGCCCAAACCAGGAGCACCCUGACAUCAGAUGAUGAAGGGGGUAAAAGAAGGAGAAUCCCUUCCUCAAAGCUGAAAGAAACUGUGCCUGCAGAUGAGGGGGAGAAGCAUACAAG
This is a long non-coding RNA of Gadus morhua (Atlantic cod), 274 nucleotides long. RefSeq lists it as uncharacterized. The record is from RefSeq and is a predicted model, not a curated record. Lineage: Eukaryota; Metazoa; Chordata; Actinopteri; Gadiformes; Gadidae. The transcript is spliced from 3 exons.